GACGAACGCUGGCGGCGUGCCUAAUACAUGCAAGUCGAACGCAGUGGGGACUGUUUAGUAACACGUGGGUUCCCUCCCAUCAGAGGGGAUAACGCUUGGAAACAGGUGCUAAACCGAUACUGAUGGAUGGUCCCGCGGUUAAUUAGCUAGUUGGUGAGGUAACGGCUCACCAAGGCCACGAUUCAUAGCCGGUCUGAGAGGGUGAUCAGACACACUGGGACUGAGACACGGCCCAGACUCCUACGGGAGGCAGCAGUAGGGAAUAUUCGACAAUGGACGAAAGCCUGACCGAGCAAUGCCGCGUGAGUGAAGAAGGUUUUCGGAUUGUAAAAUUCUGUUGGUCGAGAGGCGGUAUCGAACCAGGAAGCACCGGCUAACUCCGUGCCAGCAGCCGCGGUAAUUC
This 403-nucleotide ribosomal RNA is filed under the name uncultured bacterium. Its description in RNAcentral is "partial 16S ribosomal RNA". It matches the Rfam family "Bacterial small subunit ribosomal RNA", at positions 28 to 526 of the family's 1533-position model. The record is from RNAcentral.